UCCUGGUUUCCCAGGCAGUCCCAUCAGAGUGCCCCGAAGGUUGCAACUGAUGGCAGGAGUUGCGCUCGUUAAAGGACUUAACCCAACAUCUCACGACACGAGCUGACGACAGCCAUGCAGCACCUGUGCAAAUGUCUAGGCUUACGCCUAGAAGAUUGUAUCUCUACAACUGUCAUAUGCAUGUCAAACCCAGGUAAGGUUCCUCGCGUAGUGUCGAAUUAAACCACAUGUUCCACCGCUUGUGCGGACCCCCGUCAAUUCCUUUAAGUUUUAAUCUUGCGACCGUACUUCCCAGGCGGAUCACUUAACGCGUUAGCUACGACACCAACUCUGCAAAGCAAAGCUGACGUCUAGUGAUCAUCGUUUACAGCGUGGACUAC
RNAcentral lists this unclassified non-coding RNA (380 nucleotides) under uncultured bacterium. RNAcentral describes it as "contains 16S-23S intergenic spacer region". The record is from RNAcentral.